CGGCGGUGCAUCGUCCCCAAACAAUCCGGUGUGAAUUGGGUCAAACCAAAAUCCGAAUCUCCCAGCUCCAUCAUCUCUUCGAUUCCGCCGGCGAUUUCAAUCACUCCUUAAGAAUUUUGAAGUAUGACAACUGCAGCUAGACCUACAUGGGCACCAGCUAAAGGAGGGAAUGAACAAGGUGGAACUAGAAUUUUUGGUCCAUCUCAGAAGUAUUCUUCAAGAGAUAUUGCAGCUCACACUACUUUAAAGCCUAGAAAGGAGGGACAGGAUACUCAGGAUGAGUUGCAUAGGAGAAAUCUCCGGGAAGAGUUGGAGGACCGUGAGCGAAGACAUUUUUCUUCAAAAGACAACGGCUACGAGGACAGAGAUCGUAGAAAGAGUGGUCAACUGCUUUUAGAUGGUGCUAAAAGAGUGAUUGAAGACCGCAUUGUUCCACGCAGCGCUGAUGCUGAUGAUGAUGCAGACACCAAAAGUGACGAUGAGAGUGAGGAUGAUGACGACGAUGAUGAUGAAGAUGAUACAGAGGCUCUAUUGGCAGAGCUUGAACAGAUAAAAAAGGAGAAAGCAGAGGAGAAACUUCGAAAAGAACGACAAGAGCAAGAGGAGGAGCUUAAAGCAAAGGAAGCAGAAUUGUUGAAAGGAAACCCUCUUAUAAACCAGCCAACGUCUUUCAGUGUUAAGAGAAGGUGGGAUGAUGAUGUGGUCUUCAAGAAUCAGGCUCGCGGAGAACUGAAGGUAGCCAAGCGUUUCAUUAAUGACACCAUCCGGAAUGACUUUCACAGGAAGUUUCUCCACAAAUACAUGAAAUGAUAAUAGGAUUUUGAUGUGAAAAAAAAGCAAUCAACAAACAUCAAUGCCUUGUGAAUUGUUUUUGUUGUAGUUGUUUCUCAACACCCUGUCAUAUCAUUCAAGCAUUACUGUAAUAUUGUCAUUCCUAAACUAUAUAUGGAAAUACAUUUCUG
RNAcentral lists this unclassified non-coding RNA (962 nucleotides) under Hevea brasiliensis (rubber tree). The record is from RNAcentral. Lineage: Eukaryota; Viridiplantae; Streptophyta; Magnoliopsida; Malpighiales; Euphorbiaceae.